Molecule: ribosomal RNA, 1057 nt
Filed under: Columbicola columbae (slender pigeon louse)
Lineage: Eukaryota; Metazoa; Arthropoda; Insecta; Psocodea; Philopteridae
Description: 16S ribosomal RNA
Rfam family: Archaeal large subunit ribosomal RNA (bases 373-1057)
Source: RNAcentral
AAAUAAUUAGAAAGUAAAAUUAAAGUAGAAUUAAAGAAAAUUACCCCCUCACAAACAAAAAACUGAAAAGGUUUCAAAAUUAAAAAAACCCUUUUUCAAAAAAGUACCUUUUGUAUCAUGGUUAAGGGAGUAGAAAAUGAAUCGUUUUUCCCGAAUUUCUAGAAUUUUCGCUCCAGAGGAUUUUUGUAAAACUAAGAUCCACCACUGGCGUGAGGAAGUGAAACGCUAUCGGCUAGAAUUAUAUCUGGUUCUUUUUAAAAAGAAUUCAAUUCUAGCCUCAAGCAAUUCUUGCUUGAGGGCAUAGCCUAAAAGGGAUAAGCUUUUUAGGAGAAAGAAAACUAUUCAAACGAUUAAAUUGGAUUUUCAUUUUUUCUUUUCCACAAAAAAGAGAACAUUAAAAUUUAAACAAUGUUUUUAAUAUCCUUAAAUGAGUACAAACAAAAAUUAGUUAAAGGAACUCGGCAAAAAGUAGAUUGGCCUGUUUAAUAAAAACAUCUCCUCUAGAAAAAAAUUAGAGGUUGAGCCUGCCCAAUGCUUUUGUAAAUGGCUGCAGAAUUCAUAACUGUACUAAGGUAGCAUAAUAAUUUGCUCUUUCAUUGAGAGCUAGAAUGAACGGUUUGACUAAAUCUAAUCUGUCUCUAAUUAAAUUUUGGAAAUUGAACUGUGAGUAAAAAUGCUUACGUUUUAGAGAGGGACGAGAAGACCCUGUAGAACUUUGAAUCUUUUAUCAGAUUUUACCUGGGAAGGGGUGUGGAAAACUUUUUUUAAAAAAAAACCGAUUAGUUGAAACAGACGAUCCCGAACAGAAAAAAAGAAAAAGUUACCUCAGGGAUAACAGCGUUAUUCAGAUAAUUUAGCUCUUAUGGAUUAUUUGGUUUACGACCUCGAUGUUGAAUUAGGUCACCUUUUUGACGAAGAAAGCAAAAAAGUCAGUCUGUUCGACUGUUAAAAACCUACAUGAUUUGAGUUUAAACCGACGUGAGUCAGGUUGGAUUCUAUCUUCUCUUAAUUUUUUCUUUUCAGUACGAAAGGACCAUUUGAAAGUAAGAAUUUAUUU